RNAcentral lists this ribosomal RNA (440 nucleotides) under uncultured bacterium. RNAcentral describes it as "partial 16S ribosomal RNA". It matches the Rfam family "Bacterial small subunit ribosomal RNA", at positions 338 to 795 of the family's 1533-position model. The record is from RNAcentral.
CCUACGGGAGGCAGCAGUGAGGAAUAUUGGUCAAUGGGCGCAAGCCUGAACCAGCCACGUCGCGUGAGGGAUGACGGCUCUCCGAUUGUUAACCUACUUUUAUUGUGGAGAUAAUUACGGUAGCUGUAGAGUAAUCUACGUCUAAUUACGUGCAAGCCGCCGCGGUAAUACGUAGGGAGCCAGCGUUGUCCGGAUUUACUGGGUGUUAAGGGUGCGUAGGUGGCACUGCAAGUGAGAAGUGAAAUGCAUGGGCUUAACCCGUGAACUGCUGUGGAAACUGGCGGGCUGGAGUGCAGUCGAGGCAGGCGGAAGUCGCGGUGUAGCGGUGAAAUGCGUAGAGAUCGGGAGGAACACCAGUGGCGAAGGCAGCCUGCUGGACUGUAACUGACGCUGAAGCACGAAAGCGUGGGUAGCAAACAGGAUUAGAUACCCGAGUAGUC